Molecule: long non-coding RNA, 1738 nt
Organism: Patella vulgata (common limpet)
Lineage: Eukaryota; Metazoa; Mollusca; Gastropoda; Patellidae
Exons: 5
Source: RefSeq, a predicted model, not a curated record
CGAGUCUCGCGCUGGCUACGUGCAAUCUGGAACGUGCUUUUUUUCCUGUAUGAAUGAAGCAUUAAGGAAGAAGAUCGCAUUAUUUACGCACAUAUUAACACGCCUAUAUUAUUGCGCGGCGGUCCUGCUUAUGGGAGAUAGGAAAUUGUUUUAAGUAACAAACUAUCAAACGAGCACUAUUUGGUGAAUUUUUGUAUUUGGAAUUUUGACUGGUAUCCCGUUCCAUAACUAAGUAUCCCCACCGACUGUCUUCAGUGUUGAUAUCUGACCGCCAUGGCAUCCUGGGGUGAACGAAUCAAACUUAGAACGUUUGGUUUUGGUUUCAGAGCUUUUAAAAAUUACCCCGAGCUGGUACCACUGUGUGCGUUUAUAUCAGCAGCGGUUGCAGGGGCUUGUUGUAUGAUGGCAUAUUCUCUAAAAACUAAACCAGACGUCAGAUUAAUCAAAUCAAGCGAGUUACCUCCCUGGGAAAGGGUUAAACCCACGGAAGUUAGAAAGUUUUAUGUGAACAAUGAUAAAAAAGUUUAUGUGGAGAACGAAAAACUGGCUCAACUUAGGAAGGAAAUUGGAAGCUUUAAAUGUUAAAACAUGCGUUGUUGAUUUUAGUUUUUACAUUACGUCUCACUGGAAUACUAGAGUUGUGUCCCCUUCUCUAAAGCAAUAAUAUGAAGCUGGGAACUUUUCAGCAAAUAUCUUACCUGACAGUAUGUGUUGAAUAUAAAAUAUGAUUGAAAUUCAUUUAAUUUGAAAAUUAAAAUCACUUGUCCACCGAUGGACAUUCUUAAAGAACAAAGUAUAAUUUUUAAGAUUUGACGCAAUUCUUUCCAUUUUUAAAAAUCCAUUUCAAAUAAAAUGGAUUUAUUGUUAUUUUUAUGUAAUUUGGAAUUUGUCUCAACUUUUAAUUCAUCCAAAGAUCUUUUAUGUUUUAAUGUUGUGUUUGCUGUACUCUGUUUUAUAGAAAAUUAGAACAAUGGAAAUUUUAACUGUAAAGUUAUUUUCAUACAAAGCUUACUUUUUAGAAGCUUAGAAUUUACAAAUGUGGGCCAACGGUCUCUUCAUUACAAAAGUACAUAUCUUAGAUUUUUUAGAAUAUAUGUGAAUGAUGUGACUUGUCUUUGAUAAAAAAUAUUAAACACAGUUUGUUUGGUAAACCCCGCGGAUUAAUCAUUUCCGAAGCCAUGGUUACACGUAUUAUCGGACCUUUAACCAUUGCUACAGUAACCAUUGUAUUCUAGCAUUUCCAUUAUAGUAGGUUAAAUACAGACGGAGAUCAUCUCGUGGUACCUGACCCCUUUAUCUUGAGUAUUGUUUCAGUUCAGUAUUUUCGUCUUAAGAUUUCUAUUGGUUAUGGAUGCCACCUAGUUUUAAAUAAGCUAUGACCUACCCUCUCAGAAAUGAAAUGAAAUGGGGUUUAACGUCCUACUGUUUUGCUCCGAACUGGGCUAAUGAAGACGGGACCCUCUCAGAAAGUUUAAUAGCCGGAUAAUAGGUUUAAUAGAAGGGCGAAGUAAAAAGUCCAUAGGAUUAACUUCCCAGCGAACCUAGCGUACAUAUUAUACCAAUCGCCUAUAUCCAUAAAGUGUAGCCAUGGUUAAUGAACUGUUAAUAUCCGCUACCAUUGCUUGGGGAAUAUGAGGGUUUAUGUGCAUGAUAAGAGCUCUACUGAUGAAUAAAUAUUUUUAUAUUGUGAAACUGUACAUUAUUUUAUGUGAAUAAAGUAUGUGUUAUUUAAAAACAA